GCCUGGGUGGCUCAGUCAGUUGAGCGUCUGACUUCGGCUCAGGUCAUGCUCUCAUGGUUUGUGGGUUCAAGCCUUGCGUCGGGCU
Felis catus (domestic cat) is the source of this 85-nucleotide non-coding RNA. The record is from Rfam. Lineage: Eukaryota; Metazoa; Chordata; Mammalia; Carnivora; Felidae.